GUGCCCGUAGUUUAACUGGAUAAAACAUCGGCCUCCGGAGCCGAAAAGUGCGGGUUCAAGUCCCGCCGGGCGCACCA
RNAcentral lists this transfer RNA (77 nucleotides) under Thermotomaculum hydrothermale. RNAcentral describes it as "tRNA-Arg". It matches the Rfam family "tRNA". From Rfam's summary of the family: Transfer RNA (tRNA) molecules are approximately 80 nucleotides in length. Their secondary structure includes four short double-helical elements and three loops (D, anti-codon, and T loops). Further hydrogen bonds mediate the characteristic L-shaped molecular structure. tRNAs have two regions of fundamental functional importance: the anti-codon, which is responsible for specific mRNA codon recognition, and the 3' end, to which the tRNAs corresponding amino acid is attached (by aminoacyl-tRNA synthetases). tRNAs cope with the degeneracy of the genetic code in two manners: having more than one tRNA (with a specific anti-codon) for a particular amino acid; and 'wobble' base-pairing, i.e. permitting non-standard base-pairing at the 3rd anti-codon position. Lineage: Bacteria; Pseudomonadati; Acidobacteriota; Holophagae; Thermotomaculales; Thermotomaculaceae. The record is from RNAcentral.